GAUGAAGAACCGCAGCGAAAUGCGAUAAGUAAUGAGAAUUGCAGAAUUCAGUGAGUCAUCGAAUCUUUGAACGCACAUUGCGCCCUGUGGUAUUCCGCAGGGCAUGCCUGUUCGAGCGUCAUUUCAACCCUCAAGCCCCGCUUGGUGUUGGGCCCCGCCCGCUGUGGCCGGCCCUAAAGACAGUGGCGGCGCCGCCUGGCCCUCAGCGUAGUACAUCUCUCGCUCCAGGGUCCGGUGGCCGCCUGCCAGAACCCCCCAACUCUGUGGUUGACCUCGGAUCAGGUAGGGAUACCCGCUGAACUUAAGCAUAUCAAUAAGCGGAGGA
RNAcentral lists this unclassified non-coding RNA (325 nucleotides) under soil metagenome. Its description in RNAcentral is "partial contains 5.8S ribosomal RNA, internal transcribed spacer 2, and large subunit ribosomal RNA". The stretch from base 1 to 121 matches the Rfam family "5.8S ribosomal RNA", at positions 35 to 154 of the family's 154-position model. The record is from RNAcentral.